AUGCGAUAAGUAAUGUGAAUUGCAGAAUUCAGUGAAUCAUCGAAUUUUUGAACGCACCUUGCACUCCUUGGUAUUCCGAGGAGUAUGCCUGUUUGAGUGUCAUUAAAUUCUCAACCCCAUCAGUUUUGUCACAAAGGCUGAUUGAGGCUUGGACAUGGGGGUGUGCAGGUCCAAUUUCUUGGUCUGCUCCCCUGAAAUCUAUUAGCAGGAUCAAGCUUCCUGUCUAUUGGUGUGAUAACUAUCUACACCGUGGACUUGAUGCAUCCAUUGUUCCGCUUCUAACCGUCCCAUCCGGACAACCUUGACAUUUUUGACCUCAAAUCAGGUAAGACUACCCGCUGAACUUAA
Molecule: unclassified non-coding RNA, 348 nt
Filed under: uncultured Agaricales
Lineage: Eukaryota; Fungi; Basidiomycota; Agaricomycetes; Agaricales
Description: partial contains 5.8S ribosomal RNA, internal transcribed spacer 2, and large subunit ribosomal RNA
Rfam family: 5.8S ribosomal RNA (bases 1-102)
Source: RNAcentral